RNAcentral lists this unclassified non-coding RNA (346 nucleotides) under soil metagenome. Its description in RNAcentral is "partial contains 5.8S ribosomal RNA, internal transcribed spacer 2, and large subunit ribosomal RNA". The stretch from base 1 to 120 matches the Rfam family "5.8S ribosomal RNA", at positions 35 to 154 of the family's 154-position model. The record is from RNAcentral.
GAUGAAGAACGCAGCGAAAUGCGAUACGUAAUGUGAAUUGCAGAUUUCAGUGAAUCAUCGAAUCUUUGAACGCACAUUGCGCCCCCUGGUAUUCCGGGGGGCAUGCCUGUCCGAGCGUCAUUGCUGCCCUCAAGCACGGCUUGUGUGUUGGGCCCCGUCCUCCGAUCCCGGGGGACGGGCCCGAAAGGCAGCGGCGGCACCGCGUCCGGUCCUCGAGCGUAUGGGGCUUUGUCACCCGCUCUGUAGGCCCGGCCGGCGCUUGCCGAUCAACCCAAAUUUUUAUCCAGGUUGACCUCGGAUCAGGUAGGGAUACCCGCUGAACUUAAGCAUAUCAAUAAGCGGAGGA